CUGGUUGAUCCUGCCAGUAGUAARGCUUGUCUUAAAGAUUAGGCCAUGCAUGUCUAAGUAUAAAUAGUAUACAGUGAAACUGCGAAUGGCUCAAAAAAACAGUUAUAGUUUACUUGAUAAUAGAACUCUACAUGGAUAACCGUAGUAAUUCUAGAGCUAAUACAUGCGACCUGCCCGACUCACGAAGGGCUGUAUUUAUUAGUUGUAAACCAACAGUCCUCACGGACUGCUGUGAUGAAUCAUAAUAACUGAUCGGAGCGAGGUCGUCCUCGCUAAAUCAUUCAAGUUUCUGCCCUAUCACUUUGAUGGUAKUAUAUAGGACUACCAUGAGGAUAACGGGUACGGGGAAUUAGGGUUUGAUACCGGAGAGGGAGCCUGAGAAACGGCUACCACUUCUAAGGAAGGCAGCAGGCGCGUAAAUUACCCAAUGUCAAAUCGGCGAGGUAGUGACAAGAAAUAAUAACUCGGGGUCAUACGACUUUACGAGAUUAAAAUGAGAACAAUUUAAAAAUCUUAACGAGGAACAAUUGGAGGGCAAGUCUGGU
RNAcentral lists this ribosomal RNA (545 nucleotides) under uncultured eukaryote. Its description in RNAcentral is "bacterial SSU rRNA". It matches the Rfam family "Eukaryotic small subunit ribosomal RNA", at positions 4 to 567 of the family's 1831-position model. The record is from RNAcentral.